AAUUCGUUGGAGUAGUAAGGUUUCGUCGUGGCGCUAGUUUGUUAGGUGGAUUAGCGGAUUACCGCGUCGGCUGGCGAUAAGUCAGCGUCUGGCACGACGACGGAACGGUUCCCCUGGUUACGUUGAUUUGAUCAGCGAUCUCGACGGUUCCCAAGUUUCGAUAUCCAGCGAACAGCAUGCCGUUGUCCAUUAGACCGGAACCACGGCCGUCGAUCGUUGCAUAGAUGAUACUCUUGUUCGUUACAAGGUACGUGCCCCAAUCGACAUUGAACUUCUCCGUGACUUGAUACGAAUCUGGACCUCCG
RNAcentral lists this unclassified non-coding RNA (305 nucleotides) under Bombus terrestris (buff-tailed bumblebee). RNAcentral describes it as "misc RNA ENSBTSG00005030653.1". The record is from RNAcentral. Lineage: Eukaryota; Metazoa; Arthropoda; Insecta; Hymenoptera; Apidae.